This 322-nucleotide ribosomal RNA is filed under the name uncultured eukaryote. RNAcentral describes it as "partial 18S ribosomal RNA". It matches the Rfam family "Eukaryotic small subunit ribosomal RNA", at positions 1470 to 1796 of the family's 1831-position model. The record is from RNAcentral.
CCCUUAGAUGUUCUGGGCCGCACGCGUGCUACACUGAGUAAUUCAAUGGGUAAGGGAACGCUAGAGCAUUUCCUAAUCUUGAAAUUUGCUCGUGAUGGGGAUCGACGGUUGCAAUUUUCCGUCGUGAACGAGGAAUACCUUGUAGGCGCAUGUCAUCAUCAUGCGCCGAAUACGUCCCUGCCCUUUGUACACACCGCCCGUCGCUCCUACCGAUUGAGUGAUCCGGUGAGGCUCUGGGACCUGGACGGAAAGAGCGUUUCGCUUGUUCUGUUUGGGAAACUUGGUCGAACCUUAUCAUUUAGAGGAAGGAGAAGUCGUAACA